GCGGGUCUGGAGAAGAGAGAGGGAAAGAGACAGAGGCAGGGUGGGAGCUGGGGGAUGAGGGAUUAGGACUGAGUCACUUUGGAGACAAAUUUAGUUCAGGGACACUCACAGAUACUGGUGGUGGUGAGCCAGCCAUAUUUUUUCUUUUUUUUCAUAUCUUGUUGGGAAAUUUGCCUAGGUUGAGCAACCGACUUUCCUGAUUCAAAUUAAGUGUGUAUUAUAGAUACCGACAGAGCCCUGUGUUCCUUCUUGAAACUCCUGAUGUGAGGAUAUUUUGAAACAGUCAUUUUAUUGAGAAAAAAACAUUGUAUGUAUGGUAGAUCCACGGAAGGAAGGAAAAAAACAAAACAAGAAAAACCCAAAAAACAACCCAGCUCUUUCUAUGGACUUCAGAAAGUUGUUUUAAAGGAGGGUGAAAAUAGGUAAAACAAUUUUAUGGCUUUCCAUGUCUUCUGAACAAUACAGACUGAAAUAAAAUCAUAAAGAGAGAUGUCAAAAACACAGCAUCUUUGUGUCCACUUUAAAAUGCUUUCUCCUUAAAAACUGUUUCCUGUGAUAUUUAAAAGAUUUUGAAGAUAACCCCGUUAGAGCACACUUAGAAAGCGGCGUAAGCAUUUGAAACACUCAAAUAGUUAGUUGCCCUUCUUCGGUGUCUGAAGCAAGGAACCCUAUUUGAAGUUGUGCCAAAGAAUCAACUGGUAACAUCCUCCUGACAGAAGUCAGUAAUAAAUUAGGCUAAUUUCACAGGGCCUGCUUGGUCCCUAGGAAUUUGUAAUCUGUGGAGUAUCAGUCUUUUUUUAAAAGGCAGCAAUGAAAUGAAACUCAAAGGACAACUUCCAGGGAAUGUGCAGAAAGCCAAAGAAACUCAGAUAAACAGAUAAGAUGAUUCCCAUGUUGUGAAGUGGCAGAGCCCGGGGAGGGGGCACACCGACUGCCCCCAGUCUUCUCCGUUGGUCUACUGUCUGGUCUCCACUUGCUAGAAUGGAGAUUCCUCUGGUUCACAGUGAGACGGAGAUGAAAGGAAGUCACUUGAACUGUGGACUUUCGCAGAGCGACCCUCCAGAAUCCUUUAAUGUUCCAAAAUAAAUCUUUCCCCUCCCGUGUAACGUAAGCCAAAAAAACAAACCUGUCGCUCAGGGCGGUAUGGUUUCUAAACGUGAAUGCCCAUGAGGUUGCAAUUACAGAAGAGAAAGAGGGUCUCUGUCCCAUUUCCUAGGAAAGGGGUGUAAUUGGAAUAUAAUUGUCCUCAUGGAUCCUGAUUUCAGGUCAAUGCCAAUUUGAGAGCCAUUGGUUGUGGUAAUUCUUACUAGGUUGUGAGUGACUACUGAUAGGUGAAUCCUCCCAUAGGUGUUUGCAUUUUAAAGUAGAACUGUUGGGGCACCUGGGUGGCUCAGUCCGUUAAGUAUCUGCCUUUGGCUCAGGUCUUGAUUCCUGGGUCUUGGGAUCGAGCCCCAUGUCGGGACUCGGCUUCUCCCUUUCCCUCUGCUCCUCUCCAGCACUCGUGCUCAUGCUUUCUCAAAUAAAUAGAUAAAUAAAAUCUUAAAAAAAAACAAAACCCAAACAAACAAGUAGAACUGUUUACCAACUCAAAUGAAUCUGUGAUUGGUGUGUGUGUGUGUGUGUGUGUGUGUGUGUCGCGCAUGCAUGCACGCAUGCAAGGCAGCUCUGGUCCUUUCUGUAGCCCCGUUACUGGUGUUCUUCCACCUGCAUGGUCUCCCCCAUCCCUCGCACAUACCGACACAUCAAAAGAGACAGUCAGCCUCUUGGCAUCUCCUCCUGGCAGGGCUCCGAGAGAAUCUUGAGAAGCCGCAGAAUUGUCCCCAAGGGACAGGGCAUUAAACCAGAUGGGUGGUGGUGGGGAUAUGUCGUUGGCAGCAUGUUCCUCCGUUUCCUUGCCAGAACCCAUAGAUGGGCUCCGGGCAGGCUAGUUCCUGCUGGCAUCAGCAUAGCACGUGCAGAUCACAUCUGCCCCCUGUCCGCCCUUCCUUAGAUACCUGCUCCCCCUGGGAAACCCUUGUCACGAGGCGUCUCUGCCUGAUGGUACCUUAGGUGUGUGCCCAGAUGGUUGCAGUUUUCUUCACUGAAUUCAAAAGAAUCGGACUAGGGUGCUAGAGGAGGGGGGGACCCACCAGAGUGAUUCCUCUGCCCGAUUGCAGGGGGUCCCCCUCUCCGUUUCAGAGAGAGUGUGUGAAGCAGCAUUUUCCACCCAGAGAGGCUUCUCAGUGUUAACCCCUUCCCAUUUUUCAGUGGUAAGUUUAUAGGUGUUUGCACUUAGAGGCCGUAUUAACGUGUGUGUGUGUGUGUAUGUAUGUCUACGGGAUGCAUUAACUUAGCAGCUUUCCUUUUCGAGGAUCUUUGCCAACCAAGAGUCUCUUCUUAGGGGUCCCUGUCAGAACCGAGGUGCUGGAGGGGAGGCAGCAUGGUGUCACUGCCUGGUAGUGAGGGGACAGGAACUCAAGCCUUUGAUCUGCUGCUGCAGAGAAGGUGUCCUGAGCCAAGAUGUUUCAGUUCCCCUGAAAGCUCUAUUGAUGCCUCUAAUGAAGAGGUUGAAGAGGAAGGAAGAAGGUGCCACCAACAUGCUGUGUGAGCUUUGGCACAUUGCUUGACCUCUCAGAGAUGUAUAAAUGUACACCUUGCCCGAGUGAUUUCUAGAGCUCUAUUCACUUCAGAUCUGAGAAUUUGCUGGUGCAUUUUCCACUGAUGGUAAUUCAUCUGUGGGUGCUUCAUAAUAAGAUUUGAUGUUAAUUUGAAGAGCAGCCAUUACACAUUAAAAUGAAAAUUACCCCAAGGAAAGAAUUAGAGCUGGGAGGGGUUACAUGUGUAAUAGAAACAAACAGGAAAAAAACCCUACUACUGCUAAUUUAACUGAUGCCUGCAAUCUAAGAAGGGCAAAUGCAUGAUUCUAGUAUUUUCUUUAGUGGAUUAUAGAAAAGAAAAUUAAAUCAGAAGUCAAAAAUAAACAGUUUGAUUGCUCUUUACUGUAUUGUCUUAAUAAACAGUCUUCCUGGAAAAUUUAAAAAUACACAGUGUUCUGUCUGGCCAGAGAAAACAAUAAGCAAAUAUUGUUGAGAAAAUGUGAGACUUUUCCAUCUAGGCACGAGUGACAGCAACAUUGCCAUGUGGACUUGGAGACAUCCCACAAGGAGUUAGAGGUUGAUAAGCAUUGCCUGCUUUUCAAAGCUUGUGACUGGGGACACAGCUGUCACCCAUGGGGUUAGAAUAGGAGUGGGCAGUGCUGAGCAUUCUUGCAGACUCUGGGCAAAUCCUGACCCACUUCUUCAUUUGCCCACAACGUCUGGUCUAGACGUCCGCCUUGUCUUGACUGGCCACACAUAUUUUACAGUCGAGGGGGCUGCUGAGAAGAUUGGUGGUUCUCUUUCCCUUAGGUUUUCUAUGGCUGUAUGUGGCAAAAAGUGGUAUCUCUGUCAUCAUCACAUGGGGUUAAUGCCCUCAUGAGUACAGAAACCCAGUGAAGAAUACAAAUAAAAGAAUGUCGAUAUAGACCCAAGUGUAGGUAAAAAUUUAGUUUAUGGUAAUAGAAGCAUUUCAGAUAAAAGGGGAAAGUAUGGCUCACUCAGGAACUGGUGCUGAGGUAAGGGACUAAUGAAUCAUUGGGGAAGACGUAACGUUGGAUUCCUACCCCAUGCUAACCAAACAAAUUACAGAAGUGAAGAUUUAGAUUUGUAAAAAAAAAAAAAAAAAAGAACUAUAAAAAUUCUAGAAGAAAGUAUAAGUGAAUAUUAUAAGAAAAAAGGCUAACAUAGCUGACAAUGCAAAAAAUAAAAAAGAAUCUCUGGCAAAAGUGAUCACAACAAAAAUUGAAAGUUGGGUGACAAGACUGGAAAAAUUGCCUUAAUCUAUUAGAUACUCUCCUAGAAAUCCAUCAAAAGGAGGAAAUGCUCCGUAGAGAAAUGUCCAAAGACCAUGAGGAGGCAUUUCACAAAAGAAAGCAUAGCUACAAAAGAAGCUCUAUUAAUUAAGCAGCAAUCUUGGUCGCAAAUGACCGCAAUCCAGUUUGAGCAAGCACAGGCAAAUGAGAAUUCAUCUGGGGGGAAACUGGGGUGUCUUGCAUGUCAAGGAAGGGUGGGAGGUACAGGGACCCGGAUGGCCUCAGAAGCACCGUAACCCAGAACUUGAACACUUCUAGCACUCUCCAUCUUCUCUCCCAUCUGCUUCGUGUUCUCCCAGCCUCCUAUUUCCUCAUCACUUUCUGUGUGUUAGGGGAACAUGUCAUGGUUUCCUAUUUUACAACUUGCACCAGUAGACGGAGACUGGUCUUUUCCUCCCAGUUCUGAUUUGAAAAACUAAGGAAUGACUCCACUUGACCUGUCUUGUGUUGGUGGAUCGCUCUGGAACAAUUUAUGUAGAUUGCAAGCUUCAAUUCUUAGAUUCUUAGUUUGAAGUCCGUAGGGGUGAAAUGGUAACAACAUGAUGGCUCUGGUUACAGCUAGGGAGGAUGGGGUAUUAAGUGGAGAGGUAGUUUCCAGGGGAAGAGGAGAGGCAUUAUAUAGGGAUUCACUAUACAAGAAAAGAUAUUCAGCCCACCUGUAAACCGAAUCUUGUGUAUAUGCAGAAUCUUAGAAUGGCAAAAAUGUAACACAUUGAUAAGGAAGUGUGGGUAGAUAGGUUCUUUCAAACAUUACACUCCCUUUGCUGAUAGGAGUGCAAAUUGAUGUCUUUCUCAAGGAGUCUGACAAUAUAUAUAUCAAAAGGCUUAAAAUUAUAUAACCCUUGACCUUGAAAUUCCAAUUCUAUGAUUUCAUCUUAAGAAACACAGUGCACGGGUGCUUGGGGGGCUCAGUGGGUUAAGCCUCUGCCUUUGGCUCAGGUCAUGAUCUCCGGGUCCUGGGAUUGAGCCCCGCAUCAGGCUCUCAGCUCAGUGGGGAGCCUGCUUCUCCCCCUCUCUCUGCCUGCCUCUCUGCCUACUUGAGAUCUCUGUCAAAUAAAUAAAUAAAAUCUUAAAAAAAAAAAAAAAGAAAAA
Molecule: long non-coding RNA, 4981 nt
Organism: Mustela lutreola (European mink)
Lineage: Eukaryota; Metazoa; Chordata; Mammalia; Carnivora; Mustelidae
Exons: 2
Source: RefSeq, a predicted model, not a curated record